AAUACUAUACGAUGAGGUGUCCUUUCUCUAGCUUAUUUUUAGAGAAGUUUCCUGAUCUUAUAUGCAACCAGAACUAAGAGGAGUCAGGGGUUCCCUUCUGAGCAUGAAGCCAGCUCUAGGUGUGACUUUUGUAACUCCCUUUUUUGCCACUGAUGACCAUUAAAAAGAAAAAGGAAAGAAAUAUUUACAAUGUUC
RNAcentral lists this small nucleolar RNA (195 nucleotides) under Sorex araneus (European shrew). RNAcentral describes it as "Small nucleolar RNA U3 (ENSSARG00000019748.1)". The record is from RNAcentral. Lineage: Eukaryota; Metazoa; Chordata; Mammalia; Eulipotyphla; Soricidae.